CAACCUAAAACCCUCUUCCUCUCCCACCUUCCAGAACCCGCCGUCUUUCCCCACAUUCUUCCGCCAUUAAAGCUCUGCAAAUAAUCCAGUAAAGGAGCAGAGUUCAGCAUUUGGUGCAGUUGUUUGAGACUAUAAGAUGGAGCAAAGUUCAGCAUGUAAUUAGAAAAAUAAAAUUUUAAAUAAUUAAUUGAUUUUGUAAAGUGUAUAAAAUUGAAUGAAUUUUGAGGAGUAUGAACAAGAUUAUUUCA
Chenopodium quinoa (quinoa) is the source of this 248-nucleotide long non-coding RNA. RefSeq lists it as uncharacterized. NCBI's taxonomy places the organism in Eukaryota, Viridiplantae, Streptophyta, Magnoliopsida, Caryophyllales, Amaranthaceae. The transcript has 2 exons. The record is from RefSeq and is a predicted model, not a curated record.